RNAcentral lists this ribosomal RNA (257 nucleotides) under uncultured bacterium. Its description in RNAcentral is "partial 16S ribosomal RNA". It matches the Rfam family "Bacterial small subunit ribosomal RNA", at positions 793 to 1055 of the family's 1533-position model. The record is from RNAcentral.
GUCCGCACUGUAAACGAUGAUUACUCGCUGCUGGAGGGCAACCUUCAGUGGCUUAGCAAAAGCGAUAAGUAAUCCACCUGGGGAGUACGCCGGCAACGGUGAAACUCAAAGGAAUUGACGGGGGCCCGCACAAGCGGAGGAGCAUGUGGUUUAAUUCGAUGAUACGCGAGGAACCUUACCAGGGCUUGAAAGUUAGUGACCGGAUCUGAAAGGAUUCUUCCCUUCGGGGCACAAACUAGGUGCUGCAUGGCUGUCGU